This 450-nucleotide ribosomal RNA is filed under the name uncultured bacterium. Its description in RNAcentral is "partial 16S ribosomal RNA". It matches the Rfam family "Bacterial small subunit ribosomal RNA", at positions 354 to 796 of the family's 1533-position model. The record is from RNAcentral.
GUGGGGAAUUUUGGACAAUGGGCGCAAGCCUGAUCCAGCAAUGCCGCGUGCAGGAAGAAGGCCUUCGGGUUGUAAACUGCUUUUGUACGGAACGAAACGGUCCGGGUUAAUACCCUGGGCUAAUGACGGUACCGUAAGAAUAAGCACCGGCUAACUACGUGCCAGCAGCCGCGGUAAUACGUAGGGUGCAAGCGUUAAUCGGAAUUACUGGGCGUAAAGCGUGCGCAGGCGGUUUUGUAAGACAGGCGUGAAAUCCCCGGGCUCAACCUGGGAAUUGCACUUGUGACUGCAAGGCUGGAGUGCGGCAGAGGGGGAUGGAAUUCCGCGUGUAGCAGUGAAAUGCGUAGAUAUGCGGAGGAACACCGAUGGCGAAGGCAAUCCCCUGGGCCUGCACUGACGCUCAUGCACGAAAGCGUGGGGAGCAAACAGGAUUAGAAACCCUGGUAGUCC